This 76-nucleotide transfer RNA is filed under the name Glycomyces endophyticus. RNAcentral's name for it is "tRNA-Thr". It matches the Rfam family "tRNA". From Rfam's summary of the family: Transfer RNA (tRNA) molecules are approximately 80 nucleotides in length. Their secondary structure includes four short double-helical elements and three loops (D, anti-codon, and T loops). Lineage: Bacteria; Bacillati; Actinomycetota; Actinomycetes; Glycomycetales; Glycomycetaceae. RNAcentral also lists the same sequence under 5 other names. The record is from RNAcentral.
GCCGCUGUAGCUUUAACGGUAGAGCAACUGUCUUGUAAACAGUAGGUUGCGGGUUCGAAUCCUGUCAGCGGCUCCA